This 62-nucleotide transfer RNA is filed under the name Muirodelphax atratus. RNAcentral's name for it is "tRNA-Cys". Lineage: Eukaryota; Metazoa; Arthropoda; Insecta; Hemiptera; Delphacidae. The record is from RNAcentral.
UGUCCUAUAGUCAAAAAUGAUUAUAAAUUGCAAAUUUAUAGGUGAAUUUAAUUCUAGGUCUU